Molecule: small nucleolar RNA, 135 nt
Organism: Physeter macrocephalus (sperm whale)
Lineage: Eukaryota; Metazoa; Chordata; Mammalia; Artiodactyla; Physeteridae
Gene: SNORA70
Rfam family: Small nucleolar RNA SNORA70
About the family: snoRNA U70 seems to be exclusive to mammals and is a member of the H/ACA class of snoRNA which contain H (ANANNA) and ACA box motifs. H/ACA box snoRNAs are involved in the conversion of uridines to pseudouridines (5-ribosyluracil) a constituent of structural RNAs (transfer, ribosomal, small nuclear, and small nucleolar).
Source: Ensembl
UUGCAGCCAGUUAAGCCGACUGUGCUUUUUUCCCCAUGGGGGCCCGGUGCGCAGCGGCUGCAAACAGCAGCCUCCUCGGUAGCGUAUGCAGCCUGUUGCCUGUAUGGGUUGCCCUGAGGCACCUUGGAGACAGCC